GGAAGUAAAGUCGUAACAAGGUUUCCGUAGGUGAACCUGCGGAAGGAUCAUUCAUAAUGAGUGUUUAUGGCACUUUUAAAAAAAUCCAUACCCACCUUGUGUGCAUCGUUAGUCAUGUGCCUCGUUCUCUUUCGAGAGGGCGAGGAGGCAGACUUCAAAUUAAUCUAUCUUUAACCAGUUUGUCUGAAGCAAUGUAUCGUGAAUUAACAUAAUUCUAAAAUACAACUUUCAACAACGGAUCUCUUGGCUCUC
This 252-nucleotide unclassified non-coding RNA is filed under the name plant metagenome. RNAcentral's name for it is "partial contains small subunit ribosomal RNA, internal transcribed spacer 1, and 5.8S ribosomal RNA". The stretch from base 1 to 53 matches the Rfam family "Eukaryotic small subunit ribosomal RNA", at positions 1778 to 1831 of the family's 1831-position model. The record is from RNAcentral.